RNAcentral lists this ribosomal RNA (449 nucleotides) under uncultured bacterium. RNAcentral describes it as "SSU rRNA". It matches the Rfam family "Bacterial small subunit ribosomal RNA", at positions 26 to 518 of the family's 1533-position model. The record is from RNAcentral.
AGAACGAACGCUGGCGGCAGGCCUAACACAUGCAAGUCGAACGGAUGUAGCAAUACAUUAGUGGCGCACGGGAGAGUAUCGCGUGGGAACCUUCCUUUUGGUUUGGGAUAACAUCGGGAAACUGGUGCUAAUACCGGACAAGCCCUUCGGGGGAAAGAUUUAUCGCCGAAAGAUGGGCCCGCGUUGGAUUAGCUAGUUGGUGAGGUAAUGGCUCACCAAGGCUACGAUCCAUAGCUGGUCUGAGAGGAUGAUCAGCCUCACUGGGACUGAGACACGGCCCAGACUCCUACGGGAGGCAGCAGUGGGGAAUAUUGGACAAUGGGGGCAACCCUGAUCCAGCCAUGCCGCGUGAAUGAUGAAGGCCUUCGGGUUGUUAAAGUUCGUUUUGACGGGGACGAUGAUGACGGUACCGUAGAAUAAGCACCGGCUAACUUCGUGCCAGCAGCCGC